UUAGGGUGAGAAAAUCAAGUGAAACAUGCAAAGUUGUCCCAGUCUUGGGAUUACAAGUUGAUGAAAAACUUGUGUGAGACUCACAGAGUUACCCCACUUUUUCUUUGGCAAGGGGUUCUGUUUGGAAGAGUUUGUGGGCGUGAAAAGAAACGGCUAAAAGGAGGUCCCUACUGAUUUGAUUUUCUUUUGCAUGCUUCUGGUUAAAUGGUAGGAUGAUCCCCU
RNAcentral lists this long non-coding RNA (222 nucleotides) under Vigna radiata. Its description in RNAcentral is "long non-coding RNA (VRAD_LNC008639)". The record is from RNAcentral. Lineage: Eukaryota; Viridiplantae; Streptophyta; Magnoliopsida; Fabales; Fabaceae.